RNAcentral lists this ribosomal RNA (494 nucleotides) under uncultured bacterium. RNAcentral describes it as "partial 16S ribosomal RNA". It matches the Rfam family "Bacterial small subunit ribosomal RNA", at positions 28 to 507 of the family's 1533-position model. The record is from RNAcentral.
GACGAACGCUGGCGGCGUGCUUAACACAUGCAAGUCGAACGGUGAAGCGCCUUCCUUUUUGGUGGGUGUGGAUGAGUGGCGAACGGGUGAGUAACACGUGAGUAACCUGCCCCCUUCUUCUGGAUAACCGCAUGAAAGUGUGGCUAAUACGGGAUAUUCUGGGUCUGUCGCAUGAUGGGUCUGGGAAAGAUAUUGUUUCGGUGGGGGAUGGGCUCGCGGCCUAUCAGCUUGUUGGUGGGGUGAUGGCCUACCAAGGCGGUGACGGGUAGCCGGCCUGAGAGGGUGGACGGCCACACUGGGACUGAGACACGGCCCAGACUCCUACGGGAGGCAGCAGUGGGGAAUAUUGCACAAUGGGCGCAAGCCUGAUGCAGCGACGCCGCGGGAGGGAUGGAGGCCUUCGGGUUGUGAACCUCUUUCGCCAGUGAAGCAGGCCUGCCUCGUUUGUGGGUGGGUUGACGGUAGCUGGAUAAGAAGCGCCGGCUAACUACGUG